GGGGGCUCCAGACCUGGAUGCAGUACUCCAAGUGGGUCUUCUCAAGGACAGAGUAGAGGGGGACAAUCACCUCCCUUGACCUGCUGGCCACUCCUCUUUUGAUUCAGCCCAGGAUGCAGCUGGCCUUCUAGGCUGCAAGAGCUCACUGCUGGCUCGUGUCCAGCUUUUCAUCCACCAGAACCCCCAAGUUCUUCUCUGCAGGGCUGCUCUCAAUGAAUUCUUUUCCCAGUCUGUUCUCAUGUCUGAGAUUGCCCCAACCCACAUACAGCACAUUGCACUUCAAUUGUUCAACUUUGUUAUCCAACCGAGGGUGCUGAGGGAGUUGGUGGAUGUGAUUGCCGAGCUGCUUUACAUCAUCUAUCAGCAGUCAUGGUCAUCCAGAGAGGUCCUGGAUGACUGUAGACUUGCUAAUGUGAUGCCUAUCUAUAAGAAGGGUCGUAAGGAAGACCUGGGGAACUACAGGUCUGUCAUCAUGACCUCAGGGCCAGGAAAGGUGAUGGGACAGGUCAUUUUGAAUGCAAUCACACAGCAUGUGCAGGACAAUCAGAGGAUCAGGUCCAGUCAGCAUAGGUUCACAAAAAGGAAGUCCUGCCUGACCAACCUCAUCUCCUUCUAUGACUGGGUGACCUGCAUGGUGGAUGAGGGAAAGGCUGUUCACGUAGUCUACUUAGACUUGAGCAAAGCCGUUGACACGGUCUUCCACAGUAUUCUCCUGGAAAAGCUGGCAGCCCAUGGCUUGGGCAGGUACACUCUUUGCUGGGUUAAAAAUUGGCUGGACGGCAAGGACCAGAGACUAGUGGCGGUGAAUAGAAUGAAACCCAGCUGGCGACCAGUCAUGAGUGGUGUUCCCCAGGGGUCAGUAUUGGGGCCCAUCAUCUUUAAUAUCUUCAUUGAUGAUUGGUACAAUGGAACUGAGUGCACCCUCACUAAGUUGUCACAUGACACCAAGUUGGGGGGAGGCAUCGAUCUGUGGGAGGGUAGAAGGCCCUGCAGAGGGACCUGGACAGGUUGAAUCGAUGGGCAGAGGCCAAUGAGAUGAGGUUCAACAUAGCUAAUUGCCAGGUCCUGCACUUUGGCCACAACAACCCCAUGCAACACUAUAGGCUUGGGGCACAGUAGCUCAAAAGCUGUGCAGAGGAAAAGGAU
RNAcentral lists this long non-coding RNA (1146 nucleotides) under Anas platyrhynchos (mallard). RNAcentral describes it as "lncRNA (ENSAPLG00020010840.1)". The record is from RNAcentral. Lineage: Eukaryota; Metazoa; Chordata; Aves; Anseriformes; Anatidae.